AUUGAACGCUGGCGGCAUGCUUUACACAUGCAAGUCGAACGGCAGCGCGGGCUUCGGCCUGGCGGCGAGUGGCGAACGGGUGAGUAAUACAUCGGAACGUGCCCAGUAGUGGGGGAUAGCUCGGCGAAAGCCGGAUUAAUACCGCAUACGACCUGAUGGUGAAAGCGGGGGAUCUUCGGACCUCGCGCUAUUGGAGCGGCCGAUGGCAGAUUAGCUAGUUGGUGGGGUAAAGGCCUACCAAGGCGACGAUCUGUAGCUGGUCUGAGAGGACGACCAGCCACACUGGGACUGAGACACGGCCCAGACUCCUACGGGAGGCAGCAGUGGGGAAUUUUGGACAAUGGGCGAAAGCCUGAUCCAGCAAUGCCGCGUGUGUGAUGAAGGCCUUCGGGUUGUAAAGCACUUUUGGCGGGAACGAAAAGGACUGUGCCAAUACCACGGCUCGAUGACGGUACCCGCAGAAUAAGCACCGGCUAACUACGUG
RNAcentral lists this ribosomal RNA (484 nucleotides) under uncultured bacterium. RNAcentral describes it as "partial 16S ribosomal RNA". It matches the Rfam family "Bacterial small subunit ribosomal RNA", at positions 29 to 507 of the family's 1533-position model. The record is from RNAcentral.